AAAGAGCAAUGAGGUAUGGGAUUCAGAGAUGUGCACUGUUUUAACUUGGCCCUAGUAGCGAAACAGAGCUGGAGGCUACUAGCAGAGCCAGACUCUCUAUGUGCCAGAGUUUUAAAAGCAAAAUACUUUCCAGAUGGAGAUCUGCUAAAUUGCCCUCUCAAGAAGGGGAGUUCCUAUACCUGGCAGAGCCUAUGGACUGGUCUUCAAACUUUCGAAAAAGGCUACAUCUAG
RNAcentral lists this ribosomal RNA (231 nucleotides) under Triticum aestivum (bread wheat). Its description in RNAcentral is "partial small subunit ribosomal RNA". Lineage: Eukaryota; Viridiplantae; Streptophyta; Magnoliopsida; Poales; Poaceae. The record is from RNAcentral.